ACAGCAAGGUUACCAAGAAGCAGAUGGGCUGUGAAGGAGACAAACCCUUCUGUCUAAACACAAAUAGCAUUGAUAAUUAAUUAGCUGAAGCAGCAGGGGAAAUUAUGAAAAUGUGUGAAAGGUAAAAUAAUUUCUAUUUAUUUCAGAUUUGAUAGUUUUAUUCCUCUUGCCAGAGGAAGAUCACAUCCCUCUUCACCUUGGGAAGGUUGUCUGAUAUACUGACUAUGGCACUAACUGGUUUGAGUAUGCUGGUGUUCACUUUCUGGAUUUUGAUUUCUUGGUUAAGAAAGCAUAGUAAGUAUAGUAAGUAUUCUGAGCAGCUUUGAAUGAGAUCCCAGCCGUCCUAUUAUUCUUGCAUUCAUUGUGAUCCAGUUGCAAGAUAAACUGCAGGUGUCAUGCAGUUGAUGGGAUUUCAGAAGGGGUGGAGAUACCUUCCAGUGUCCCUGAAAUCACAUAAUGGUUCUAUCUGGCAUUGAAGAAUUUUCAACCACGGGAUAAUAGAGCUUUAGUUAUAGAAACGACUUUACAGACUGUCCUUGUCCAGGGUCUCUGAACAACUAGGUUCUUGAGAUGUUUUGAAUAAUCAGCUCAUAUUCAUUCAAGAUAAAACUGAAUAGUUUAACAUGAUUUAGUUAAAAUAUGAUCUUCUUUAUUAUACUUUUAAGUUCUUAGAUACAUAUGAAGAGCAUGCAGCUUUGUUACAUAGGUAUACGCGUGCCAUGGUGGUUUGCUGCACCCAUCAACCCAUCAUCUACCUUAGGUAAUUUUCCUAAUACUAUCCCUCCCCUAGUCCCCCCAUCCCACAACAGGCCCUGGUGUGUGAUGUUCCCCUCCCUGUCUCCAUGUG
Molecule: long non-coding RNA, 847 nt
Filed under: Homo sapiens (human)
Lineage: Eukaryota; Metazoa; Chordata; Mammalia; Primates; Hominidae
Description: non-protein coding LINC00901:4
Source: RNAcentral